Molecule: microRNA precursor, 123 nt
Filed under: Podarcis lilfordi (Lilford's wall lizard)
Lineage: Eukaryota; Metazoa; Chordata; Lepidosauria; Squamata; Lacertidae
Source: RNAcentral
ACACACACACACACACACACACACACACACACACACACAAUUUUAUUUCUGUAUCUUUGUUUCAUUGGCCAAACUAUUUAAACUAUAAAGAGUGUGUGUGUGUGUGUGUAUGUGUGUGUGUGU